ACGAACGCUGGCGGCGUGCUUAACCCAUGCAAGUCGAACGGAAAGGCCCUGCUUUUGUGGGGUGCUCGAGUGGCGAACGGGUGAGUAACACGGGAGUAACCUGCCCUUGACUUUGGGAUAACUUCAGGAAACUGGGGCUAAUACCGGAUAGGAGCUCCUGCUGCAUGGUGGGGGUUGGAAAGUUUCGGCGGUUGGGGAUGGACUCGCGGCUUAUCAGCUUGUUGGUGGGGUAGUGGCUUACCAAGGCUUUGACGGGUAGCCGGCCUGAGAGGGUGACCGGCCACAUUGGGACUGAGAUACGGCCCAGACUCCUACGGGAGGCAGCAGUGGGGAAUAUUGCACAAUGGGCGGAAGCCUGAUGCAGCAACGCCGCGUGCGGGAUGACGGCCUUCGGGUUGUAAACCGCUUUCGCCUGUGACGAAGCGUGAGUGACGGUAAUGGGUAAAGAAGCACCGGCUAACUACGUG
RNAcentral lists this ribosomal RNA (467 nucleotides) under uncultured bacterium. RNAcentral's name for it is "partial 16S ribosomal RNA". It matches the Rfam family "Bacterial small subunit ribosomal RNA", at positions 29 to 507 of the family's 1533-position model. The record is from RNAcentral.